CUUUUUUUUUUUUUUUUUUUUUUCCUACGUAGAAAACUGCAAAUAUCAGAAGUGGUCGGUUAAGGCAGAGUCCAUGACAAAUUAUUAAGUGAUUUCAUCCGUGAUAUGAUCACAGUUUUAAUACAGUAUACAGGCUGAAUAAUUAAAUAAAAUCUCAAUCCUGCAACUUGGCCUGAGAGUCUGUAGCAAAAUUGCCUCAGCAUGAUGAGGGGAUUGAAAUAGGAAAAAAAAAAAAAAAAAGAACACUCAUUUAGAAGAAAUUCUUCAGCAAAAAUUUCAACCCAUUACGCGAUGUCACUCCCCCAAAUUCCCUCAACAAAAGCUUUCAAUUAAUGAACUUCAGAUUAGCCUAGCCAGUUUCCAUUAGCGCCCAGCACAUUAGGCUUUAGAGAUCUUCUUACACCAGAACCGUGCCAAGUUGAUGCUGCUUUGCUUGUGCAACAGACCUACUGGUCGUCAUCGUGCAAGGGUAACCUAUUGACUAAGGCAGAAAUCCAGAAGUUAACAGGUGAUUUCCAGCCCGUUUCACGAUAGAUCGAACGAUAUACAGCAGCCCCAGAGGAAUCAACAAACCGAGAGAUCUGCAAUCCUCAAUACUAUCACAAGGAUUUUACGUCCUUCUCCACAAAUUACGUAAAGCAAGCAGAGUGAUGAGCAUUAAGUAGAACUCUGAAAAGAUUACCCUUAAAAUAAUUUUGUUUUAAAAACCAUAACAAAUGCUGAAAAGUUCAUAAUUACAAUUUAUUGCUGUUAAAUUUUUUACCAUCCGAACCAAUGGAAAGAGAAGGAAGUAAAUAAAAAGCUAAUUGCGGAUCCUAAUUCAGCACAAUUCAUACAUUUCAUGGUGCAAACCAAGUAUGAUGCAGCAUUGACACUUUGCACAAUCUAUCGUUUGCAUUCACCUUGACUUCUUACUACGCAAUCCCAUCCUUGAUUUUGCAUACCUAAAUAUUUUGUCAAGUCCAAACUACAGAAAAACCAAUGAAAUCAUGGGAAGAAAACCGAAUAAUACAAUGGUAAUCACAAAAUUAGACUCAAUCUUAGUAAAGGAUACUCCAACCGCAUGCCCUGACCAGAUGGUGAUGAGUACAGAACUGUGCCUUGUAGAUGAUUUAGAGCCUCACUUGAAGUAGCAGAAUCCUACAAAUUAAACCAUCAGAUGCAGACAGGAGCGUUUUACUAAAAGAUUAAUGAGACGGAAAGCACAGGACUGAACCAUGGCUCUGGGUCAAAAUGGAAAUGUUGGGCAUGUGCCAAUAAAUGCUGGGUUCUCCGUAUCAUAACAAAAAGGUGAGAAAAAUCGUCCAGCUUUUGGUUUCACAGGAGAGGUUUAGAUAGGUAAGGACAAGCAGUUGGUAGUACAGGUGACACAGUUAACAGCAUACCUACCUAUACGAGAUGGAAAAAGGUUGAGCAGAAUAUAUGCUACAAAGUGAAACAUUUCUCCAUGUAAAAGAUAGCCAGGUACAGGUGCAACAACAAAAACAAUUGAACAAAACUUCCAGUAACCACCCUUAAUCCCAUGGAGACUAGUAUCAAAGCUGAGCAGCAAAUGCUCCACAUUUUCCAGUCCAACCAACGGAGUGACUCAAGUUGACAACCAAAACUAAAUAAAGAAGAUUAGACUCUGAAUGAAUCUAGAAAAGAUCCUAAUUUUGUUCAAAAUUCCAACAAGAGAAAAGGGACUAUGCAAAUGUACAACAAACAAAAGGAAAUCCACUACGUUAAGCUUUCAUGCUUUUAGACCAGACUUGCAAAAAUAGUGUUCCAGAAGAACAAAGUAAGAAAUAUACCUGGAAAUCAACAAAUGCAACAGGAGCCCCAUAUGUGCUCUGCAUCUUCAAUUUCAGAAAUCCAGGACAUCUAAGUAGAAAGCAGGCACCAAGUUAGUGCAGCCACAACAAUUUUUAUGAUGAAUGAUGAAGAAGACUGUUCUCCUGAACCUUGAAAAAACUUGAAUGAGCUCCUGUUCUGAACAAGUUGGACCCAGAUUAGCUACAAAAAGUGUUGGACAUGGGGUGGAAUUCUGUGAAACACGGAGCUGAAGUCAAGCGGGUGUACAGCCAAAAUGGAUUAAUUAAUCUACCACAUAAAAGAUCACUAUAUGAACUUGAAAAGGGAGUCAGUAGAUAAGAUUUGUCAAGUAAUAAUCUAAAGCAAGCAAGUGAACAAUAACUGUAAUCGUUCCAACACGCUGAAACUAGUGCAGGAGCAAGACUAAGGCCCUGUUUGAUAACUCAAUUUACCACUUAAAUUUCAUAGGUUCAGAUCUUAACAUGUUCAGAUGCAUUUGAUAACCAAAAAUAGAACAUCUGAAGAAAAUUAAGUGGCACUAAAUUUUCUAGGCAAAAUUUGCUCCCAAAAAAAGUGAUGAGCUAUUCAAUUAUCACUUAAUAUGAUAUAUACACUCAAGUGUAUCAAAUUUAGUCCUUAACAAUUCAGUAACUUAACGAAUUCAGGCUUCAAUUUUAUCAAACACACCCUAACUCAUGCCUUAAAUAAAUGCUAUACAAAAUACUCAGAAUCAGUAUUCAGUUCGUAUAUUCAUAAAGACUUUACCAUAUCAAGGACAAUUUGGAAUGGAUAGCCUCUCUCAUGAAAAGGCCCAGGUUUUCAAAAGCUUAAGGAGAAAACUAACAUUUCUAGCUCGAAAAUCAUGAGCCAAAGCAGGAGUUAAAUUCUAAAAUUUUAAAGAGCCAAACAAAAAUUAUGAAAUAGUUUGUAAAAUACUGUAUCAUUAAAUAAAAUUUCAGGGACAAGAACAUCUUACCAAUUUUUUACUAGAGUCAUUUGCAGCCCUCUCAUCAAAGCUUCCCUCACUACAUUGUGAGAAAAAAGAAAAUGGAAAUCAGAUAAGAUUUUUCAGUAACAUUGUAACUGAUAAAGUUCUCUAACUUCAGGGAAUAGGGCAUAUAGUGACUGCUUCAAUGUGGCCCUUGACCUUUCAGCCAGAAGUAAUCAAAUAUGAGUAAAUUAAACGUGCAUAUCGGCAAGAAGUAAGCACUUCCAAAUAAUUAAAGUGUGCUUAAGUAGUGCAGAUGACCUUUGUGUGGAUGAAUAACCAAUCGUGUUGUGAGCGGAAUUACCCGUUCCAGGCAUGUGAAUGCUGCCAACACCUGCUAGUGCCCAACAGUGCAAAACAUGUGCAAGGUGAGCUUUUAUAUUAACGUGCUCUCCGCUUGGCUGACUAGCUAAUAUUCUUUGUAAGAGAUCAAGUAGGUAUCAUGUGACUAAUUUGGAUUUAAAAAAAAAGCAUAAAAACACAAUUAAACAUCGUGCCCUUGGAAGAAGCAGAAGAUAGAGACUGCUUGUAGAGAUAUUUUCAUCCACAAUAUGCACAGGAAAACUAAGGCAAAAACCUUACCCGAAUCUGUGCCCCUGGAAGAAGCAGAAGAUUUCAUCCUCUUCUCUGAUGCAGCACUCUCAUCAUCUGGUUGUUGCAAGUCAAACACAAUGGUUAAAAAAAGCAGGACACAAGGCAUGACAGGCAGGAAAAAUGUUGCAAAAGUACCUGUUCUUAAGCGCUUAGACCUGGGAUUAGAUUUUGCAAGAUCAAUAUAUAAUGUGGAACCUUUCUCAAGGUCAAAUACCAUUCCCUGGGAAGAAAAAAAAAAAGAAAAAAAAGGAUUAAAAUCAACAAGUGCUGAGGAUAUUUUCUCAGUAAAACCAAAGAUGUGAAUAUGAAAAUGAAGGGAGCCAACUACAUAAGGCAAGAAUGCUAAUUUAUGCAGAAACAGAUAACAAUUACAAUAUAAAGAUACAGAAUUUAGGGAAAACCCCACCAUUCCAAUUUUUAGUCAUACACAACACAAACCCACAACAUUAAAAUCAACAAGUUGUAAGAAUGAGAGACGAUCCUAGAAUUGCAUGAACUAAGGAUCAGUGAGUAGCAAAGCCAUUCCAAAAUGGGAUUUAUAAUUAUGUUUUCCUUUGUGGGAAGGGCAGGUGCUCCCGCCAGGCUCUAAACCCGUCCGGUAAGUUUUUCAAAUUUUUGAAAACAGAAAACCGACUUACUUGCCGGCCUCCACAUCAUUAUUGAUGAUCGAUUCAUUUCAAAUCAACCGAACCCGUCUAAAAUACUAGAGUGUUUGACCACAGUUACUAGGAGCUCAGUAACUUAGAACUAGUAACAAAUGCAAAGAAAGAUGUCCUUACAUUGAGCGUGUGUAAUGCCAUAACAGCUGACUGCUGAUCCACAAAAACAGCAAAAGCAAAUGGCUGUAAACAACCACCAAAGAAAGAACAUAUAAGAAUGCAUAUAUGCAUACAUUAAACAGACUGAAACGCCUGAGAGACCAUCAACUAAUCCGAUAAACAUAAAAACAAACAAAUAAUUGAGAAAAUGAGGGAAAAAAAAUCACCUGAGUACUGGCUGUUGUACGAAGAUGAGAGGACUCGUAACCAGGGAACUCGCGAAAUAGGUUGUAGAUUUCUCGAGCCUUGACAUCUUCAGGAAGUCCAGCUAUGAAGAGAGUACGGACCUCGUCGUGCGAGGAUUGAGGGUAAAGCGGCGGAGCGUAAUUGACGAAUUGGGUUUGAGGAGGUAGGUAUUGCUGGUGGUGUAGCGGCUGAGCUACCGCAGGAUGAGCAGGAUGGGCAGCGGCUCCUGGAGGAGGUGGUGGUGGAGCUUCGUAAUAUUGGUAGUGGGCAGGCGGAGGAGGGUAGUAUGCCGCCAUGACGACGACGUCGUCCAAGGAGAGACUUCGAUGAGGCCUGGUUUUUUCCUAUACUGUGAUUUUUCUGAAUACGAGCUUAGCGUUUUCAUUUACUAAGCUAGGAAGUCGGCCAGUGGUGGAUGCUUUUGGGCCCAAUAGGCGAAAGGAUUCAUAUGGGCUUUUUCGGGUUUUCAGAUGGGCUUUUUUUUUCUUUUUUCUUUAGGUAGCUCUCUUCGCUUUUUUUUUUUUUUUUUUUUUGGUUCUUCCUCUUUCCCUUUUUAUUUUUAGGUAGCUUUCUUCGCUUUUUAUUUGUUCGUAAUAUAUUCUCUACUAACUAUUUUUUUUUUAAUCCCCAACUCAGUUUGCUUAUCUUGGAAGAUCGCCACGAUUGUUGCCGCCUAUAUUCGGGGAGGGACCAAGAGAAGAAAAGAAAAAUGCUACUCAAAGUUUGCGAGCGAGAGUGUUAGAUAAAAACUCAGAUUAGAUCAAUGGAUGGGUACGAGAUAGAGACGACAUACUUGUAGAGUUAGUUCUGCAUUUUACAUGGAAAAUGGCGGUUUCUGUUUGGAAGACUUAUGGGUGAGGCAAGUUUUGGAUUUGAAGCAUUUACAAUAAGUCUCUAAAGCGACAAAAAAUGACAAAUAUUACGAAGCCAAGUUACGUGCACGUUUGCAGCUCGUGCGAAACAAUAAUGACAAUAGAUUUUGGAUCAGCCUCACCACCCCCAUCGAGAUAAUUCAAUUUUCCACGAGAACAGGCUCCUUGUGCAACUGUUACCAUAAAAAAAAAAAAAGUCAAUUUGAUUCUUAUAAAGUAAUUGGAUAAAUUGGUUGAUUAAAUAUAAAAGUGAACGAGUGAAUGGGUUUGAAAUAUUUUUUACUGUCACGUUUCUGGUUUGAAUUCUGUAUCUGAGAGUUAGGAACGGAAAGGAUGCGACGAGAAAGGGGAGAAUAAAAUAAAUGAAUAUCAUGUGGAAGAUCAUGAAUACUUGUAAUACCAUUUUGUUCAAUCAAAACGAAAAUGCUAGAUUUCGUCAUGCAGAUAAUGCAUCAUUAACUAGAUUACAUAGAUUCAAAGAAACUAAUACUCGUCUUCCCGGGAGAUGCAAUGGCAACAUUAAUACUACCAAAAUCCAGAAACCUUUGACUGGCCUCUAUAAGUUGGAUUGGUUCAUCCACACCACUAAUGUUAAAUUUCGUCUUACAAUUAGCUUCGGCACUAUCAAUGUUAAUUGCUCUCCACUAGAGGUCGAGCAAUCAAAUGUUUGGUCGACUCGUAGUCAAAAUUCACCUAUAAUGAAAACUCAUGGCUUAAAUGUUGAAAUUGUUAAUUUUUUGUUGCUAUAUACGUACUGCGUUUCCCUUUUAGUUUUCAGUAAGGAACCCUUCUGUUCCAAAUACUAAAACGGCCACUUGUUCUCAAUCCUGAAGUAGCGUUAAUCAUUUGAGUUCCUACCAUGCCCAAUGACAAGGAAGAAAACGUAUACAUUCCUCCUAGAUAAAAGAUUUUACCAACAGCCCCCGUGCUUUCUCUGCGAAAGUGGUCAAGUUCGGUUAUGGAGACUAAAAUGCCAUGGGAACUAAUGCUGCUACAUCUUGAUAAUCCAAAUGAGGCUAUUGAUUUCCAUGCACUUCUUUUGCAAUGUGGUAAAGCUUAGAAUUGAACAGCUUCAUCUUGCGUUGUAGUAAACUUUUAUAUAUAAGUUUUUUGGAAAAGAAAUUUCUAACAAAAGAAGAGUAAGAUUUAAGAAGCGAAAAAAGGGGAGGGAGAUUUAAACACAGACCUCUAAGUCCUAGGACCUGGACCAAAGCCUCCUCUACUAUUUUAUACAUACUUCCAAGUUGUAAUAUCCUCUCAUACUUAUAUUACCAUUUAAAUUAUCAUCUAACAAAAAAAUUCAAAAGCACACAUCACAUAAAAUCUGGGCAGCCUCACACUUUGCGUCAGGCCCAAUUCAACUAGUUGACAUCAAAGUCUGACCACUCACACUAUUGAAUGGAAAAUUGUUCGAAAGACUGCUUUGCCGAAUGUCCACUAGUCGAAUGGGCAAGCUCAUUGAGUUCAAAAUCAAAUCAAUUAAGGUGGAAAGAAGGCAUGAUGACUGAAAUUUCACUAGCAACGGUUUACUCGAAUCUUGCUCUGAUCACCAAAAGGAGAAAGUCUUGAAAUCCAAGGCCAUCUGCCCAAUGCCCUGAGAUGAAACUCUACCCACAACCAAAAGAGACCUCAAUCAUCAGGUUAAAGCAACACUACACAUUCAAGAAAUUAGCCAGCAAACAGGAUCUUUUAACAGCAAACGAAUUUAAUGUCAGCUUGUCUACACAAAUUUGUGACACAAGAACGUCAACGAGUAGGUUCAGAUACACGAUGAAAUGUGCUUUAUCAUGAGAAGAACUACCAAUGAGCAUAUUGGCUGACUGGAACACUUCCACAUUUCGAUAUUAGUGAAGUCCAAACAGAACACUUCAGAAUGCAGUUUGCAUCAAAACAACUGAAACAAUCAUCAAGAACCAAAAUGCGCAAGCUAUU
This 7184-nucleotide long non-coding RNA is filed under the name Coffea arabica (coffee). Its description in RNAcentral is "long non-coding RNA (CARA_LNC004854)". The record is from RNAcentral. Lineage: Eukaryota; Viridiplantae; Streptophyta; Magnoliopsida; Gentianales; Rubiaceae.